GCUGGGAGGGGAUUACGAGGGACCGUUGUGGUGUUAUUGAGAGGCAAGGAACGCAUGUGGCAUGAGUGCGUGGGGUUUGGCUUGUGUGAGAGUUGGUUGUAGUUGUAGUGGUGUUUAUGAGGCAGUAGCUCAGGACCAGAAGGCAUGUGGGUCACUGUGGAUCGUGAUAUGUAUGUGAUGUAGUAGAAGCAGGUAAAGAGAGGACAAGUGUGUGUGUGGUGUUGUACAAUAGGAAAGUUCAUUUGUAAGCGAUAGCGGAGUGAAGGUGUUGUGUUUUCAGAGAGGGCGUUGGCAGAAGAAGUGGAAUGUUUGGGUCACUGUUGUGUUAUAGUUGAAAAAUGUAGUAGUGAGCAACUGAAGGUGUGUGACUGGAGGCCUUGUGUUGAUGCAUGUGCUAGUUGCUUGUAGUGUGGUGUUUAGGAGGCAGUAGGAAAGGGAGUAGAAGGAAUGUGUAGCUGUGAAUGUGAAGGUGGUGGACAAUGGGAUGGUGCUAGAGGUUUUGAUGUGAGUGUGGCUGCUGUUGUGGAAAUGUGGUAGCGGUGGAGAAAGUGAAGCUAUAAAGUGUGUAUUGGGCUGUGUGUGAGGUUGGUAAGUAGAGUGAGGAGUUAUGUCAGAGAGGGUUGUGAGCAAAGUGUUGGUGUUGGCUUAAUGUGGUGUAGUAGAAACAUGCAGGUUAUGUUGAAGUACAAGGCCCGUUGUUGUGUGGGUACUGGAUGUGUAAUGUAGGGGUGGCAGUAUGCAGCUGUGGCAGUGGAGUGUUUGUGGCGUUGGUGGAAUGUGCAGUUUGUGCUUUGAUGUGCAGGUUGUAAGUGAGUGAUAGUGAAAUGGGAGUGUGUUUUCAGGGAGGCUGUUGUGUCAGAAGAAGUAGGGCCCUUUGGGUGGAUGUAGUGAAGUGGUGCUGAAGGUGGGGUUGGUAGGUGCAGCUGUGUGUUUAGAAGAAAUGUGUGUUAGUCGUAGUUGUUGUGGAGAAAGUGAAGAAGCAAAGUGUGUGUAGUUGCGUCGUUUGAAGUAGAGGAUGUAGGUGGUGGAAGUAGUAGUUAGAAGUGGAGUUGAGAUUGUGUAUGUUUUCAGAGAGGGUAGUGUUGGCGUGACGAGGUUGUUACGAGGCAAGUAGGUAAAGAGUGGAAGGCGUGGUUGCUUGUGAAUGUUUUGUGAAGUUGUCAUGUGUUGUGUUGAGGGUGAGGAAGGAGGUAUUAGUCGUAGGUCCCUUGUAAUGUGGUGGUGGUGUUUGUACAGGAGAAAUAGUUUUGUGCAGGUUGUGUGUAGAGGUCCAGAGUAGUACGAGAUAGUGGAGUUUAAAAGGGGUGUGUUUUCAGAGAAGAAGUUGUGCAAGGUGGCAGGAGAGUUUGUGUGUGUUGUUGUGAAUUGAUGCUGUUGUACUUGUUGUUCUUGUCUCCGAAGGCAUGGUGUUGGUGGCUAUCAACCGGUACGAGUAGCUGCACAUGUUUUGGGGAAGACGUGAUGGACGCUUACAGCGGUGGGGACACGGGCGACAUGGAUCCUCACAUGUUGUCUGUGGCCGAGGACGCCUCCAGCACUUAGAGAGAGAGCAGAAGAAGCAGUCCAUCUUCAGCAGCGGAGAGUGGGGCUGGGGGAAGUUAGGCCAACUUGGCAGACACCGUGUUCCCCGAGGCGGUCGGAGGGGUGGCGCAGCGUGGAGGACGGAGUGUUGGCGUAAAAUGAUGUGAUGGAGGUGGAAAGAGUUAGUGGUUGCUGCUUUGGCGUAAGGUGGCAAAAGUUGUUUGUGAAAGUGUAAAACAAUGUUGUUGUUAUGUGUAAGAAUGUAAUAAAAUGUGUAAUAAAAAGUGUGGAAAAGAAA
Molecule: long non-coding RNA, 1819 nt
Organism: Cynoglossus semilaevis (tongue sole)
Lineage: Eukaryota; Metazoa; Chordata; Actinopteri; Pleuronectiformes; Cynoglossidae
Exons: 2
Source: RefSeq, a predicted model, not a curated record